CUGAUAGAGGCGCGGUUCUCAUGAGUACCCUCCGGCAAGGCCAGGCAAGCCGCCGGGGAGGAAAGGGAGCGCCGCCGAAGGAAGCGAAGGUGCCUGCCGCCGCUUACCUGGGCCGCCGGGAAAUACCCGCCGGACUGUCACCGUGUGUGAAGCGCUAUCAU
This 161-nucleotide non-coding RNA is filed under the name human gut metagenome. Its description in RNAcentral is "Lysine riboswitch". It matches the Rfam family "Lysine riboswitch aptamer". Rfam says of the family: Riboswitches are metabolite binding domains within certain messenger RNAs that serve as precision sensors for their corresponding targets. The record is from RNAcentral.